This 1350-nucleotide long non-coding RNA is filed under the name Gopherus agassizii (Agassiz's desert tortoise). RNAcentral's name for it is "lncRNA (ENSGAGG00000023957.1)". Lineage: Eukaryota; Metazoa; Chordata; Testudines; Testudinidae. The record is from RNAcentral.
AUGUUUGUGUGUGAACGUAUAUGGAGCCAGGCAAUUAAAUGUCCUGCCCCCGGUUAUGGUUUUCUAAAGCCAACCCCUUUGUGCACACAGCCACACCACUGUCUCUUGCAUGCACACUCCCUUUUCUGUCACAUUCACACACACAGUCAUCCCUCCUCACACUCUGCCCUUCUGCUCUCCCGCAUCUCUCUUUCACCUCUUCUCUGUCUGUCACACACACACACCAUCCCUGUCUCUAUCGCUCACCCCGCCCGCCUUAGGACACACUCUCUCAUACACACACUCCUCUCCUCAGCCUCCCCCAGCCUUUCUCUCUCCUCAUACUCCAUUGUCUCUCUCACACACUCACUCAUACACACAGUUCUCUCCCAGCCUCCCUCUCACACAGACUCAAACACCCCCCACCCUUCUCACACACCUCCUUUGUCUCUCUCACACACCUCCACCCCCUCACCCACCCUUUGUCUCACACACACUCUCACACCCCCUCUCUCUGUCUCUUGCACACUCACAUCUUUCUUGUCUCCCUCACCCCCCCAAACACUCACCAUUGUCUCUCUCACACAUACACCUUGCUCUGUGUUUCACACACUGUUGUCAUCGUCUCUUCCUCACACCCUUUGUGUCACACUCACAGACCUCUCCCUGUCUCACACAGAUCAUACCUCCGUGUCUCACCCAUGCACACCAUCCAUUGUCUCUGGCCUCUGCCCUUCCUGUCUCACACUCCUACCCCUUCCGACUCACACCUAUCCAUGCCUUACACACUCACCAUCUCCCUGUCUCACACCCCCUCUCCCUGUCUCACACACUCACCCCCUCCCUGUCUCACACCCCCUCUGUCUGUCUCACACACACGACACCUCCGUGUCUCACCCAUGCACACCAUCCAUUGUCUCUGGCUCACGCCCUCCCUGUCUCACACUCAGAGCCCCUCACCCUCACCUCUCCCUGGCUCACACUCACACCCCUCUCUCUGCCACACUCACACGCGGUUGCGAUUGCGCUUGCGCCCCGGCUCCUCCUCCCGGCUCGUUGCAAGCGGGGCCGGGGCCGCCAGUAGCGGCAGAGCCGGUAGCGAACCUGAGCGGGGAGCUGAGCGGAACUGAGGCGGAUCCGGAGAGAUGGGGGCCCGGGUUCCCCAGCGCUCCUAGGGGGGGUAGGUCCCCCCGAUUCCCCACGGCGGCGCCCCGAGCUCAUGGGCGGCCGCACGGGUUGAGACUCCCCGCCGGACGGGCUCGGAGGGACCCAGGCGUCCUGGCACCAUGGCGUUCACCUUCGCCGCCUUCUGCUACAUGCUCACCCUGGUGCUGUGCGCCUCGCUCAUCUUCUUCGUCAUCUGGCAUGUGA